GGAAUAUUUUCUGUUCUUUCUUAUUAAGUGAUUGUUAUGGCACAACUUGUCAACUAUUGUAAUUAAUUCCUGACAAUCACAUCCAACCUCCUCACAAGUACUGUUGUUUUUCAGAUAUCAAGACACAUAGGGCUCAGAAUGGACGCUCUAAACAAGUAUUAACUUUUUCUUUUUCAAUAACUCAUGCGAUAGGGAUCAAGACUUUCGUGUCCGCAUAAAAUCAGAAAUAUCAAUCCCACAAGCAAUAAUUUUGACGGUUUGAUCUAAAAUCUGUAUCUUCGCAAACAAUUUUUUCCCCUCUCGCUCAAGGAUAAGGCACCUGGAGAUGGGCCUUCUUGAAACUCUGUUUUUGGGCUUUGGAUAAACGGCAGCAUGACGUCUCGAACCUGUCACUCGAGUGGUUUAGCAGCGACGUCUAUAAUAGAAUUAGAAACGGAAAACGGUGUCGUUGUACCAACAUGUACCAACGGAGAUGAAUAAAAAUAGAAGCAUGAGGCUUGGGCUGAUCCCCACCAUGCUUUUUGAUAGAAGCCCAUGUUGGCAAACGCUAAGGCCAUAACCCAUACUUGUUUGUGUUCGUAGUCAGAGACUCGCAGCAACAUAUCACUUGCCUGUUAGAGCUAAGUUUCCAAUCUCCACUUUUUCAAUCACUCAAUUCAAGAAAAAAAAAAUAUAUGUAAAUUUACAAUUCUGUGUUUUUUUAUUAUUUUGAUCACACACAUAUUCCAUUCUUAUUAUUGGCAAGAAAUCAUGGAGUAAACUGAACCAUACGGUUAUCUUAGAGGAGGAAGCAAGCUUCCAAGUUUUUUUUCCCCGCUCUUUUGGGUCUUGAACAUGAAGACUCAAGUAGCUUUCAUUAUCUGAUUAAUGAAUUGCUGGCGAUGGCCCUCCUCAACACACCAAGUCAUCAAACGGAUACCUUUCUUAGGCAGUGGCAACGAUCCUAUAAUACCUACAGGUAUGAUGCUAGAGCCCUGUAUUGGAACAAUAUGCACUGGAGGACCCCACCCGUAAUCCACCUGAUUGAAUCCCAAUCUACCCCAUUCUGAUAUGAACAACGUGCUGUAGAUUAGGGGCGGUGUAAAUGGAUCCUCGCCAUCAUUCAAAUACUCCCCCUUCAGAUACUUGCCAAAUUCUAUUGGUAGCUUAGCCUUUGAUUCUUGUAUGAGUUUUAUCACUUCAAUGUUUGAUGCUUGUGCCAGUGACUCAGUUGGAACUGUGAUCGUCACUGGGAAGAAACAGUUCCCAUAGAAUCCUUUAGGCAAAGCAAGGUCUAAGACUUGGCGGCAAUUCGCGAAGAAAACAAGCUUCAUAUUUGUGUUCUGCUUCAGGUUUAUUGCAAUUGUUCGGUUUCUCCAGAAUGUGGCAGCUAUAACUUCGAACGUGGAGCAAGUUUUCCCUGUUGACUUUUGAAAUUCAUUCUUGAGCUGAGCAAUUUUAUCCAAUGAAAUGUCUAUAUUGGCAUGCUCUAACCUAUAAUUCGGCAUUGGUGGUGGCAGUGCUGGCAGUGCUGUGGCAUUCGCUUGUUGUGGUGGUGCUGGAGAAAAAUCCCUACACCAAACUGGUGAAAUGCUAAGCUGCUCAACACCUCUAGCUAGCUCCCCAACUGCGUUUAAGAAUUGUGCAGCUCCAAGGCCAUCGCAUAUACUGUGGCAGAAUAUAAGUCCAAUAACAAAACCUCCACAUGCAAAUUGUGUAACCUGCAUUUGGACAAGUGGCUCGAUGCCUUUGUCAUUUUCAGGAACAUAAUCAGGAAGGAGCUCAUCAUAGGGGAUUGUUGUGACAUUAUCAAAAUAAUUGACAGAUUCAAGAUUAUUAGUAGCAGAUGCCUCAACAAACCAUACACCUUGUCCUGAGCAUUCAAUUUGAAGCUGACCCUGGCUGGACUCCUUGGGACGCCCUGCAAGAGGGUAGUAGGGAACCAACGCCUUGGACAAGGCUUCCCUUAUAACUCUUGCUGCUUCAGGGCCAUUUCUGAAAACAUGCAGCGUCCGAGCAUUGCAUCUCAGGACAGGCAACCUAUCAAUGACAGAGAGAUCAAGGGUGCCUGAUGGUGUCUGCUCAAAUGGCCUAACUAGGCAUCGACUUGUUCUGAUUAUGGACAAAGCCAUGAAUGGAUAAGAAGGUUGAUGAAUAAGAGAUAUUAAGCACCAUAGCCAGAAUUACCUUUUAUAUACAACAUAGAUGUAGAAAGGAUGUUAAUUUAUUAAAAUUCAAAUUGAUGAUAUGCUUGGCCUUAAAGUCUACUUUUCAUUUGGUAGCAAGAGAAGAUAGCUUUGGCAAGUGGAAUUGCUUAUAUUAUAUAUGUCAGAUGCUUAAAAAUUUAUAUGUCGUUAACUUUAGGGAUAUGUGAUGACUUUACAAAGAAAACUUUAUCGUAUAUACAUACCCAGAUGAAGUCAGCAGCUACUUUUCAUUUGAUUCUUUUGCUUUUAAGUUCAUUCCCAACCAGUACUUCAAAUGUAGAGUGCGCAAUUUGGCCCUGUUUGCUUAUGAAAUUCUUUCUCGAGCUAUCUUUGUGAGUGCAGAUGUCUGCUCUGCAAUUGGGCAUCGAUGGCGGAAACACAUACGCCAAAAUGGCGAAAUUCUAAGAUGCUAAAGACUUCUAAUUAGCUCCCCAACAGAUUCUGCAGUUCCUGGAAGUGGCCAUGACAUAUGCU
RNAcentral lists this unclassified non-coding RNA (2660 nucleotides) under Hevea brasiliensis (rubber tree). The record is from RNAcentral. Lineage: Eukaryota; Viridiplantae; Streptophyta; Magnoliopsida; Malpighiales; Euphorbiaceae.